RNAcentral lists this unclassified non-coding RNA (963 nucleotides) under Hevea brasiliensis (rubber tree). Lineage: Eukaryota; Viridiplantae; Streptophyta; Magnoliopsida; Malpighiales; Euphorbiaceae. The record is from RNAcentral.
UUAAAAAAAAAAAAAGGCUUCUGAUAGUAUUAAUUUAUAAUAAUUUUCAUGCUGAGGGUACAAUGAAAAGUUAGAAGCUUACAAAUGUUGGGACCAUUGCAUUGCAUAAGCAAGCCUACUACCAUAUUGCCACCACAAUUAAGUAAUUCAACUUAAAUUACAAAAUAGUACUUUGUAAUUAAUGUUAAAAAGCGCUCCAAAUGAUACUUUGGGACCAUUCCGUGUUGACUACCUGGUAAGAACUAGUAAUUUCUUGUGUCAUGGCAACAAAUAAUACUACUGAUGAUUCCCAUAGCGGCAUGUAAUUUCUUCCCCUUCUAUUAAUCUUUCCACUGCAUCUGCAGGAAGACCAAUCAUCUCCAAUGUCUUCUCCCACAAUUUAUGAGAAGUCUCGAUGCUGUGUGCUUCUUCCGAAGGAUUUGCUGGUCGACAAUCUUGAGAGAUGAAUGCACAUACAGGCCAGUCGUCUGAUUUUAACAAAUCACAGUAUUCUGGAAUCUGAGGAUCGGUGGCUGAAAAGAGAGCACUCCUUGACCCUUCUUGAGCACUAAAGAUAAAAUAGGGUAUUAAGUGAUAAGCUGCUUGCACGAAUCUGGAAAGAUCCCUUGCAACAUUUGUAUGGACAACUCCAGGUGAUACACAAACUACACUAAUGCCAGAUUCUGCAGGAAGGCGCCUCUGAAGAACACUACUAAACAUGACCUGUGCCAACUUGCUGCUAGCAUAUCCCACUAAGCUUGUAUACUUUCGCUUCCCAGAAACAACAUUCAUGUCUUCAGUGUCAACAAAGCCAACAUAAUGCAUAACUGAAUUCACAUUGAUAAUUCGGCUGGGAGAGCCUCUAAUUAGGGAUGGCAAAAGCAAUAUCGUAAGCAAUGCCGGAGCUAGAUGAUUCACUUGCAUGUGUUCUUCAUACCCAUCUUUUGAAAACUUUUGUGGUUCUCCAAUGGAAAAUAUCCCAGC